AGUCAUCAGGGUCAUGAUCUUUAAUUAAUCAUGGCUUGGAUUUGGAGGUUAUGUUGGCUUUCAGUCGACUCCUCUUAAAUGUAUUAGCUCAGUGUUUAAUGCUUAGAGCGGUUCACGGUGUGAUAAAUUAUCUACACUUCAACUAAUCUAAGUUAGCUGGCUUCUAAUAGAUCCUUUGUGAUCACUUUGUGU
RNAcentral lists this unclassified non-coding RNA (192 nucleotides) under uncultured Resinicium. RNAcentral describes it as "sequence contains ITS2". Lineage: Eukaryota; Fungi; Basidiomycota; Agaricomycetes; Hymenochaetales. The record is from RNAcentral.